This 332-nucleotide ribosomal RNA is filed under the name uncultured bacterium. RNAcentral describes it as "bacterial SSU rRNA". It matches the Rfam family "Bacterial small subunit ribosomal RNA", at positions 568 to 898 of the family's 1533-position model. The record is from RNAcentral.
UGCGUAGGCGGACUUGCAAGUGCCUUGUGAAAUCCCAUGGCUCAACCAUGGAACUGCUCGGUAGACUGCAAGUCUUGAGGUCGGUAGGGGUCGCUGGAACUCUAGGUGGAGCGGUGAAAUGCGUAGAUAUCUAGAGGAACGCCAAAGGUGAAGACAGGCGACUGGGCCGAUUCUGACGCUGAGGCACGAAAGCGUGGGGAGCGAACGGGAUUAGAUACCCCGGUAGUCCACGCCCUAAACGAUGUGCACUAGAUCCUGGAGGCUCUGACGCCAUCAGGGUCGAAACUAAAGCGCUAAGUGCACCGCCUGGGGAGUACGGUCGCAAGGCUAAA